GUACGGUGAAACCGCGAAUGGCUCAUUAAAUCAGUCGAGGUUCCUUAGAUGAUCCAUUUCUACUUGGAUAACUGUGGUAAUUCUAGAGCUAAUACAUGCCCAACAGCUCCGACCCCGGGCUUCGCGGUUCGGGGAAAGAGCGCUUUUAUUAGUUCAAAACCAGUCGGGGGCUUCGGCCCUCGUGCUUUGGUGACUCUGGAUAACUUUGAGCCGAUCGCAUGGCCUCGAGCCGGCGACGCAUCUUUCAAAUGUCUGCCCUAUCAAAUGACGACGGUACGUGAUCUGCCUACCGUGUUGACUACGGGUAGCGGGGAAUCAGGGUUCGAUUCCGGA
RNAcentral lists this ribosomal RNA (333 nucleotides) under Bakyietaia polyzonata. RNAcentral describes it as "partial 18S rRNA". It matches the Rfam family "Eukaryotic small subunit ribosomal RNA", at positions 76 to 387 of the family's 1831-position model. Lineage: Eukaryota; Metazoa; Mollusca; Gastropoda; Architaenioglossa; Viviparidae. The record is from RNAcentral.